GUCCACGCCCUAAACGAUGCAGACUAGCUGUUUCGAGUAUCGACCCUCGGAGUGGCGUAGCUAACGCGUUAAGUCUGCCGCCUGGGAAGUACGGCCGCAAGGCUAAAACUCAAAGGAAUAGACGGGGAUUCGCACAAGCGGUGGAACAUGAGGUUUAAUUCGACAAUAAACGAAGAACCUUACCAGGGCUUGAAAUGGUCACGAAUACUUGCUGAAAGGCAGGUAGUCUCUCAAGGACGUGAUCACAGGUGCUGCAUGGUUGUCGU
This 266-nucleotide ribosomal RNA is filed under the name uncultured bacterium. Its description in RNAcentral is "partial 16S ribosomal RNA". It matches the Rfam family "Bacterial small subunit ribosomal RNA", at positions 793 to 1055 of the family's 1533-position model. The record is from RNAcentral.